Molecule: small nuclear RNA, 98 nt
Filed under: Nannospalax galili (Upper Galilee mountains blind mole rat)
Lineage: Eukaryota; Metazoa; Chordata; Mammalia; Rodentia; Spalacidae
Source: RNAcentral
GCAAGUGCUUGCUUCUACUAAAAUCAGAACAACACAGAAGAUCAGCAUGGCCCCUGUGCAAGGACGACAUGCAAAUUGAUGAAGCAUUCCAUAUUUAU